UUAGAAGAUCAUCCUUUCAACAGGGAUUUGCCCGCAAUGCCUUGGAUGACAAGACUACAGGUUAUGCUUGGUUCUGCUCAAGGUUUGGCUUAUCUACACCGGGGACUGGAAGUCCAGGUGAUAUAUCAAGAUUUCAAAUCCUCCAAUGUGCUAUUGGAUGAGCAAUUCAGGGCUUGCUAGAGAAGGACCAACGGGUGACCGCACUCAUGUAUCAACAUUGGUGAGUGGAGGGGUAAUGAACUUUUUAUACUCUCAAAACUGACCUUCAUAAUUCUGAGACAUGCUACACCAGCAACAUAUUGAGUGGCAACUUUACAUGUUGCAUAAGCACUUAUUAUAUGACAUGUCAUGUACAGAAGCAUCCAUAGUUCCACCCAAGUUAGCUGGCUUAGCCCACUUAUGGCUCUUAUUACUGGAUCCCCAAGCAUCAUUUGAGCCACGUUCUUGAGAGUAUUUUCACUUGCUUAGUUAGCACAUAUAAGUCAAAGGUCCUCUUUUUCCACGGGAACAAGUGCUGGUCAAUGUCACAUUUUUUUCACUUGCUAUAAAAGAAUUCAAGGAAAUCUUUUCUUUCUUCUUGUAAUAGAAUGGAAGAAGGCAGUGAAAUAGAGGAAGACUUAGUAGACUGAUCUGUGGAAUUGCUGUAAUCCAUACUGAGCAUUUUACCUUU
Prunus dulcis (almond) is the source of this 670-nucleotide long non-coding RNA. RefSeq lists it as uncharacterized. The record is from RefSeq and is a predicted model, not a curated record. The transcript has 2 exons. NCBI's taxonomy places the organism in Eukaryota, Viridiplantae, Streptophyta, Magnoliopsida, Rosales, Rosaceae.